GUGCCAGCAGCCGCGGUAAUACGGAGGGAGCUAGCGUUGUUCGGAAUUACUGGGCGUAAAGCGCACGUAGGCGGCUUUGUAAGUUAGAGGUGAAAGCCUGGAGCUCAACUCCAGAAUUGCCUUUAAGACUGCAUCGCUUGAAUCCAGGAGAGGUGAGUGGAAUUCCGAGUGUAGAGGUGAAAUUCGUAGAUAUUCGGAAGAACACCAGUGGCGAAGGCGGCUCACUGGACUGGUAUUGACGCUGAGGUGCGAAAGCGUGGGGAGCAAACAGGAUUAGAU
This 279-nucleotide ribosomal RNA is filed under the name uncultured Sphingomonadales bacterium. Its description in RNAcentral is "partial 16S ribosomal RNA". It matches the Rfam family "Bacterial small subunit ribosomal RNA", at positions 505 to 783 of the family's 1533-position model. Lineage: Bacteria; Pseudomonadati; Pseudomonadota; Alphaproteobacteria; Sphingomonadales. The record is from RNAcentral.